RNAcentral lists this ribosomal RNA (253 nucleotides) under uncultured bacterium. RNAcentral describes it as "partial 16S ribosomal RNA". It matches the Rfam family "Bacterial small subunit ribosomal RNA", at positions 524 to 776 of the family's 1533-position model. The record is from RNAcentral.
UACGGAGGGUGCGAGCGUUAAUCGGAAUUACUGGGCGUAAAGCGCGCGUAGGCGGUUUGAUAAGUCGGGUGUGAAAGCCCCGGGCUUAACCUGGGAAUUGCAUUCGAUACUGUCUGACUCGAGUCUGGGAGAGGGAAGCGGAAUUCCGGGUGUAGCGGUGAAAUGCGUAGAUAUCCGGAGGAACAUCAGUGGCGAAGGCGGCUUCCUGGCCUAAGACUGACGCUGAGACGCGAAAGCGUGGGGAGCAAACAGG